Molecule: ribosomal RNA, 427 nt
Filed under: uncultured Desulfovibrio sp.
Lineage: Bacteria; Pseudomonadati; Thermodesulfobacteriota; Desulfovibrionia; Desulfovibrionales; Desulfovibrionaceae
Description: partial 16S ribosomal RNA
Rfam family: Bacterial small subunit ribosomal RNA
Source: RNAcentral
UGGGGAAUAUUGCGCAAUGGGCGAAAGCCUGACGCAGCGACGCCGCGUGAGGGAUGAAGGUCUUCGGAUCGUAAACCUCUGUCAGAAGGGAAGAAAUUACGUCGUGCUAAUCAGCGGCGUAUUGACGGUACCUUCAAAGGAAGCACCGGCUAACUCCGUGCCAGCAGCCGCGGUAAUACGGAGGGUGCGAGCGUUAAUCGGAAUCACUGGGCGUAAAGCGCGCGUAGGCGGCCUUGUAAGUCAGGGGUGAAAUCCCACGGCUCAACCGUGGAACUGCCUUUGAUACUGCUUGGCUAGAAUCCAGGAGAGGGUGGCGGAAUUCCAGGUGUAGGAGUGAAAUCCGUAGAUAUCUGGAGGAACAUCAGUGGCGAAGGCGGCCACCUGGACUGGUAUUGACGCUGAGGUGCGAAAGCGUGGGGAGCAAACA